RNAcentral lists this microRNA precursor (97 nucleotides) under Gallus gallus (chicken). RNAcentral's name for it is "microRNA gga-mir-1664 precursor". The record is from miRBase by way of RNAcentral. Lineage: Eukaryota; Metazoa; Chordata; Aves; Galliformes; Phasianidae.
GGAGAAACCCAGACAGGGAGAGAACAGGAGGUGAAUGAGGCCACAGUCUGUGACCUCAUUUACCUCCUGUUCUCUCCCAUUCAUUCUGGGUCUUUCC